RNAcentral lists this transfer RNA (63 nucleotides) under Ictidomys tridecemlineatus (thirteen-lined ground squirrel). Its description in RNAcentral is "Spermophilus tridecemlineatus (thirteen-lined ground squirrel) tRNA". It matches the Rfam family "tRNA", at positions 5 to 66 of the family's 71-position model. Rfam says of the family: Transfer RNA (tRNA) molecules are approximately 80 nucleotides in length. The record is from Rfam by way of RNAcentral. RNAcentral also lists the same sequence under 1 other name. Lineage: Eukaryota; Metazoa; Chordata; Mammalia; Rodentia; Sciuridae.
AUGUACCUCAAUGGUAGAGUAAUUGCCUAGCAUGUAUGAAGCCCUGGGUUCAAUCCCCAGCAU